UACGAAGGGGGCUAGCGUUGCUCGGAAUCACUGGGCGUAAAGGGUGCGUAGGCGGGUCUUUUAGUCAGGGGGGAAAUCCUGGAGCUCAACUCCAGAACUGCCUUUGAUACUGAAGAUCUUGAGUUCGGGAGAGGUGAGUGGAACUGCGAGUGUAGAGGUGAAAUUCGUAGAUAUUCGCAAGAACACCAGUGGCGAAGGCGGCUCACUGGCCCGAUACUGACGCUGAGGCACGAAAGCGUGGGGAGCAAACAGG
This 253-nucleotide ribosomal RNA is filed under the name uncultured bacterium. RNAcentral describes it as "partial 16S ribosomal RNA". It matches the Rfam family "Bacterial small subunit ribosomal RNA", at positions 524 to 776 of the family's 1533-position model. The record is from RNAcentral.